CCACAAGCAGUGUGUUCUCUGCAGCAGAAGGUUGGAUCCAGGGGGAUGACUCCAGCUGAGGAAUCAUCCAGGAGCAGCAGCCGGAGGAGAAAUUGGCGGAAGUGGACCUGAGCCACCUGGAAAUCCUUCUAAGCAGACAUGAACAGUCUUCAGCUUUCUGACUCCCGCGUAACUGCCUCUGCGCUUCUAAAGGAAGCAUGGAGGAGCAGCAGCUGAAGGAGAAGGUGGCAGACGUGG
Molecule: long non-coding RNA, 237 nt
Organism: Mauremys mutica (yellowpond turtle)
Lineage: Eukaryota; Metazoa; Chordata; Testudines; Geoemydidae
Exons: 3
Source: RefSeq, a predicted model, not a curated record